UACGUAGGUGGCGAGCGUUGUCCGGAUUUACUGGGUGUAAAGGGCGUGUAGGCGGGUACGCAAGUUGGGUGUGAAAUACCGGGGCUUAACCCCGGGGCUGCAUCCAAAACUGCGAAUCUUGAGUGCCGGAGAGGAAAGCGGAAUUCCUAGUGUAGCGGUGAAAUGCGUAGAUAUUAGGAGGAACACCGGUGGCGAAGGCGGCUUUCUGGACGGUAACUGACGCUGAGGCGCGAAAGCGUGGGGAG
This 245-nucleotide ribosomal RNA is filed under the name uncultured Oscillospiraceae bacterium. Its description in RNAcentral is "partial 16S ribosomal RNA". It matches the Rfam family "Bacterial small subunit ribosomal RNA", at positions 524 to 768 of the family's 1533-position model. The record is from RNAcentral. Lineage: Bacteria; Bacillati; Bacillota; Clostridia; Eubacteriales; Oscillospiraceae.